CCUACGGGAGGCAGCAGUGGGGAAUAUUGCACAAUGGAGGCAACCCUGAUCCAGCGACGCCGCGUGCGUGAAGAAGUAUUUCGGUGUGUAAAGCUCUAUCAGCAGGGAAGAAAUAAAGUCCUUCGGACUUUGGACGGUACCUGACUAAGAAGCCCCGGCUACCUACGUGCCAGCAGCCGCGGUAAUACGUAGGGGGCAAGCGUUAUCCGGAUUUACUGGGUGUAAAGGGAGCGUAGACGGCAGCGCAAGUCUGGAGUGAAAUCCCAUGGCUUAACCAUGGAACUGCUUUGGAAACUGGGCAGCUGGAGUGCAGGAGAGGUAAGCGGAAUUCCUAGUGUAGCGGUGAAAUGCGUAGAUAUUAGGAGGAACACCAGUGGCGAAGGCGGCUUACUGGACUGUAACUGACGUUGAGGCUCGAAAGCGUGGGGAGCAAACAGGAUUAGAUACCCCUGUAGUC
This 457-nucleotide ribosomal RNA is filed under the name uncultured bacterium. RNAcentral describes it as "partial 16S ribosomal RNA". It matches the Rfam family "Bacterial small subunit ribosomal RNA", at positions 338 to 795 of the family's 1533-position model. The record is from RNAcentral.